CAAAAAUUAUUAAUGGCUGAUUUUAUUGAAAGCAACUUUCUUCAUGAGCAAACUGAAGGCAUGAAGAAGUUGUCUGACUACAUUACCAAUCUUGAGCGUGUUGGUGAUGGACUUGGUGUGUAUCAAUUAAUCAAUUUGAUAAGCUUACAUUGGAUGGUGGUGACAACUAAAUACUUUCCAACCCUGUUUUCAUUUUUGAAAGUCAAUAAAAAGUUUCAAGUCACUCUGAUUGAUUGUAUUCAUCUAUGUAGUAUCUUGUAUCAUAUAAGUUUGUGUUAUAAGUUUAAGUAUGAGGUGAGGUUUUUCUUUAUUAACUAAAGUAUCACGACAGUUACUCGUGACUUCUAAAAGCCUACAAACAUGCUGCUCAGUGGAAUUUCAUUUUCGGGGACAAAUAUAUUUUCUGGAUUACAAGUGCCCACAGUGUGUUUUAUGGUCAACAACAACACAAGGAAAAUCAUUAAGUGCAAAAAAUGCAGUCGUUACAGCUAUAAGCCUCGUGUUGGAGACGAAAAUUUUGUGACAUCGUGAAAAUUCAGCUUAGCUGAAUGAAUUAUCAAUUUUAGGAAAAAUAAACGAUCUACACUCAAAUAUAAAAUAAUAAAACUUACAAACAUACAUAUUUCAUAGCUCAUUGGUCGCCUAAGGACGAAUGACAACAAUUUCAGGCCUCAUGUUAACAGUCAACACGCAAGUAUUUAUGUAGAGAAUUAAAGAAGUUUUGAAAUUUGGAAAGGUAAACCACAUUCUCUUUAUAAUUUUAACAACUGUAUGCGCGUCUGUAGUGACACAAACUAAUACUUUCUAGGUCAGCAUUUUUCACUCACAAAGUUUAUAAACAAAACUGUGAAUAAUUUUAUGUACACGAUAAUAACCUUUAAUGAAAAAAAGGGAAUAUUUCACAUUCUCUUUUUGUGGCUUCAUAAUGGAUGAUAAGAACAAUAUUUGGAGAAAGGAUUUAUUGCUGCAUCAUGAUUUAUAAUUGCCUACCUCAGCAAAUAUUCGAAGUGUUAUUGACAAUGUAGAACCAUGUGUUGAAGUGAGAGCGGAAUAACAACUACAGUAUACGAUUUUAAAGACAUAUUUGUCAUUGUGCAUAUAAUAAAGAAUGUAAUACAACAUUUCAUUAAUCCGAAAUUGAAAUUUUGUCAGCAUUAAGCGUAUUCCAGUGUGGUUUAAUUGAAAUCUCUUUUUUAAUUGUAGCAACAAUCCGCGAGAUGACAUCUUUGGUCUUGGGUAAAGACGAAUAU
Long non-coding RNA from Xenia sp. Carnegie-2017, 1250 nucleotides. RefSeq lists it as uncharacterized. Lineage: Eukaryota; Metazoa; Cnidaria; Anthozoa; Malacalcyonacea; Xeniidae. The transcript has 3 exons. The record is from RefSeq and is a predicted model, not a curated record.